AGUGAACGCUGGCGGUAGGCCUAACACAUGCAAGUCGAACGGCAGCACAGAGGAGCUUGCUCCUUGGGUGGCGAGUGGCGGACGGGUGAGGAAUACAUCGGAAUCUACUCUGUCGUGGGGGAUAACGUAGGGAAACUUACGCUAAUACCGCAUACGACCUACGGGUGAAAGCAGGGGAUCUUCGGACCUUGCGCGAUUGAAUGAGCCGAUGUCGGAUUAGCUAGUUGGCGGGGUAAAGGCCCACCAAGGCGACGAUCCGUAGCUGGUCUGAGAGGAUGAUCAGCCACACUGGAACUGAGACACGGUCCAGACUCCUACAGGAGGCAGCAGUGGGGAAUAUUGGACAAUGGGCGCAAGCCUGAUUCAGCCAUACCGCGUGGGUGAAGAAGGCCUCCGGGUUGUAAAGCCCUUUUGUUGGGAAAGAAAUCCAUCUGGUUAAUACCCGGGUGGGAUGACGGUACCCAAAGAAUAAGCACCGGCUAACUUCGUGCCAGCCGCCGCGGUAA
Molecule: ribosomal RNA, 506 nt
Filed under: uncultured bacterium
Lineage: Bacteria
Description: partial 16S ribosomal RNA
Rfam family: Bacterial small subunit ribosomal RNA
Source: RNAcentral